This is a long non-coding RNA of Episyrphus balteatus (marmalade hoverfly), 4229 nucleotides long. RefSeq lists it as uncharacterized. The transcript has 3 exons. NCBI's taxonomy places the organism in Eukaryota, Metazoa, Arthropoda, Insecta, Diptera, Syrphidae. The record is from RefSeq and is a predicted model, not a curated record.
UUUUUAAUUUAAAAUUAUUAGAGAAAAAACUAUUAGUUUGGCAGACGGCAACACUAUCCUAACUAUAGCAGGAACCAGCAGCUCCUUCAUUAUAGACGUUCUGACAACCAGGUGUCCCAUGUGUCGCAAAGUUGCUAAAUUGCUGUCUCGAGUUGACGUUUAAGUUGUUUAUGUCGUUUAUGUCAAAGAAACAUGCUGCAUCAUCUCCAAAAUUAGUUUUAAUAUAUUCGAGUUCUCUAUUUGUUUUUAUCUUUAAGCCGCGGAAAGUAUUGUAUGCAAAAGUGUAAUUGUCUAUUUGCAUUUUUGCUCCUUUUAUGAAAAUUUUGAUGUUCGAGUUCUUCGCAUUAAGCUUCGUCAUAUUUAUCUAUAACGUCAUAUAGAUGUCUUCUUUUGUUGCGAUACAUCAAUGAUUGUUCUCGAUGAACAAAAAUUCCCGUGUUUUUAAGUUUGGGGGCUGCAACCAUGAUUUUGUUGACAGUGUCGGUGUUAUCAAACUUCAGAACCAUUGUAGUUUUUUUUGUUUCGCGGUUAGUGAAUUCUUGUGAAUUUUGUAUAUUCAAAUCCGUAUUUUCGUUGAGACCAAGAAGGCCUAGACAAGUUUGUGUUGCAUAUUUAAGCUUGUUUGCCGUCUUGUCUGAAGGAAAGUGCAUGACAACAGUGUUUUCAUUUGUUCUUUGUGCCACCAUUUCGAGCUGUCUCUCCAGGGUCUCGCAAUAGCUUUCAAGGACAGAAAGCCGUUCAGUUAAAAGAGUGUUUUGUACACGAAGAAGCUGUAUGUCUUUUGAGACAGCUAAGACGUCUUCUUUCGUCGAAAUGUUUUUAAGAUGUUCGGCCAAACAUUGGUUCACAAUAGAUUUUAGUUCUUCAGCAUUUGUCAUCUUUAAGUUGGUUACAGUUUUCUUGCUAUGAGGUGUUUUUAUCGGAGAUAUUUCCGUUGAUUUUCUCUUUGGUUGCAUAUAGCGGGCCAGUUAAAAAAAAAAGUGCCGGUCUUCUGGGUUGGAUUUAAAAAGACUUAAAUUAAUCCUACCUUUGUUUGUUUGUAUAUUUUUUUUUAACUUUUGGAUGCACAAUAAGUUGAUAAAUACACCAAAGUAAUUUUGACUUUUAUAGAUACAAUUUAAUAUAUAUUUAUUGAGAAAAAACUAGAGCACUUAUUAAACUAUAUGUGUUGCACUUCACUCUCUCUCUCUCUUUUUUCUUAAUUUCGUUCAUAUACUUGUCGAGCUUUCUGGUUCCUGACGAAAGUCUUGAAGAAGUUCGUGCUUUCAUUAAAUCAAAAUCAUAGUAAUGCAAGUACCAAGAUGCUACUUGUUUUUUGUUCUUGCUCAGAAAUAAGAAUAAGUUGUGCUUGAAGAAGAAACGCUAAUACUGGCACAAGCAACCUUGUGCCUUUUGUUUUACAUCUCAAUCUUGAGGUAGAGCAGAAGAACUGAUUUCGCUCCACAAAGAAUUGGAUGCAAUUUCAUAUGUACUUUGGUUUCUGAACCCCUAUUCUUUAAACGUUUGUCGGGUUAAAAGGGCGCUGUCGGCGUAUAAGACAAAGGAAGACAAGGACCAAAUUUGAAAAUUCCCUAUAAAUAUGGGACUUCCUUUCACCCAAAAUACAUAUAUAAAAAAAAAUCAUAACGUAAAGUGAGCGAAAGCUGUUUUGUAAUGUCAUAUUACGACUGCUCUAGGUUGCUGUUUAGUUUGUUGAAAAAAAUCUUUUUCGCUAUUCGCGAACUAAAUUGAACUAAGUUCAAUAGUUCACCAAAAUGAACUAGUUCAUUGAACUAGUUCGUUCGCGAACUACACAAGCCUACAAAGUUUGGUAUAGUAUCACCAUUUUGAUUUUUUAUUUCGCCAAAAGUCCCCAUACCUUACUUCGGCAGUUUCUUUUGUCGCAAAUAGAAAAUAUAUUAUUAUUAAGAUUUAAGCUAAUACUUUGUUCUUCCAUUGUUUUUUACAAAACUAUUACUUUUUUAAAUGAACUCAGAAGAUUACUAUUUAAAUAUUGUUCUCGCAAGAAAUCAGCUUUUGAACUAAAAUAUUUCAUUCAUAACUUUCCCUUUAACCCUUUCAUGCUGAUUUGUAAUUUCCCCAAUAUACCUACCCGAAAAAAUAGUAAUUUUGUUUUAAAAACAAUCAUCCCAAAUCGCAUUAUUGCAUAUUUUUUAGGGAUAGGUUUCUACUACGCACCUACCUGCACAAAUUAACUGGGCAUUCCCCACAACCACAUUUGUAUUGUUACCUAACGAUUAAUUACUUUUUUAUUUACUCAGUCAUUGAAAAUCCUUUUCUAAACCACAAUUGUAAAAUUAAAAUAACCUGGUUUAAUUGCAGUUGUACCGCAAACAACCAACCCUCAAAACCUAAAUAAAAAAAAUAUGCAACAGGUACCUAGAGGACGUAGAAAUUGGAAGUGGUUGUUUUCAUUGUUCAAAGUGUUCAUGAUUUUUCGAUAACGUUUGAACGUUUCAAUCACUUUCAAUCAUUUCGAGUAAAGCCUAGUGUUUAUGAACAGUCAAUCUGUUUACGAGUAAUUUUGUUCGUGGGUAUUGUGGAUCGAGUAUACUCAUGAGUUCAAACAAUUUGUGUGGUUUUGUUUGUGAGUAUUUUUGUUUAUGAGUAAGAUGAUUUACGAGUAUAGAGAGAAAACGAUCGAGCACGAACGAUCAUUUUAAAAAAUUGAAAUUGUUCGAACAGGUUCGAACAUACUUAUUUGGAUCUCCACCGUACACAUAAAAAGGUAAUAUAUUCCGAACUGACAUUGGUCGCCAGAUUGUCAAAACAUGACACUUUGGCGACCAAUGUCAGCUACCGAAUUCUUAAUUGUUUAAAAUACCGACGAAAACGCACAAAAACCGAUAAACCACGCACACCACUAAUUUUUAAACAAUUAUUUACCAUUUUCCGCGAUGAAACACGAAGAAAAUUUGUUAUUUUUCAAUUUAUAAUAUUUUUAAAUGACAUUUUAUAAAUUAAAACAACAAAAACAAAUUUCCUGUUUACUGCGAUUGAAAUAUAAAAAUUAAAGGCCGACCUGACAGAUUGGUGCCCAUUUUUGACAAACAAAUUUUGACAACGUUCGGAAUAUAUUACCUUAUUAUGUGUACUGUGAUAGGUACCUACUAACUAUCAAAAUAGAUUUUUAAAAAUUGAAAUUUGGCACGAUCCUACUUAAAUGUAGUAGUAAUAGUAGUGCCAACUUAUAUUAUGUUUUAGACAUAACGUGUUUUUUUUUAUUACGACCGCAACCGGGCUAAACUUCCCCUACAAGUCCCCCCCCCCCCUAGCUACGUGCCUGACUAUGGACAACAUGCUGCAAAUUUGGCAAAAGACUUUCGUAUCGUUUGUCUGCGAGUGAAAACUGCUUUUAUGGAAUGUAUUGUUUGGUGAUUCCUUGGAUGUUCUGGCUUGUUGAAAAUUCACUGCCUCCAAGCUUGUUGUGUUUUACUUGGAAGUUUUUGAAGCAAAACGAAAAUUAUAAGAACAUCCCACUCAUCUACCGCUAUAUAUUAAAAUUUUUUAAGCUAUGAAGAACUUCAGUCGAUGUAUCCAACAAAUGCUUUAUUAAUUCGGCUUUUUCUUGAAUACUUGGAGAAUUAUUAAACAAACAUUUAAGCUGAGUGUUCACCAGAAAUCGCGCAUGAUCGUUUCUUUCAGUGAGAAUGGACCAGGCUUUGACAUAAUUGCCAUUAUCUAUGCUAAGAUAGUGAAACAUUUUUGUGUAUCAAGGAUACAAAUAGGUCAUGGAAUGGUCUCCACGUGUCGUAGGUGCCUGAAAAGGCCGGAAAAUGUUUGGUAGUUUAAUUUCUACUUUGGAUGAGGAAACAUGGUUUAAAGUCGCUACUGGAUCUUUUUGAAGCUCUCUUUAAACUGAUCGGUGGCGUCUAACAAAUCGCCAUGGUAAACUAGAUAUGCUUCACUUAUUUUUUCAAAAAUGCCUUCAACCUCUUCGUAGAAUCCACAUCUUCUAUGGACAUGAAAACCUUUUGAUGGUGUUGUUUCGCUUGGUUCAUAUCAUCUUCUAACAACGCUAAACGUCCAGAAAGAUAAUUUUCUCUUCUUCGUGUUUUCCAGUUUUAGACAAAUUAACCUGAUCUUUUACCAUUUUACUAUAGAUUCUCUAUAGCACUAUUUUGUCCAUUGUAUUUGUUUAAUUGUUAAAAUAUAAAUAUGUAUUUUAAACAAUAAAAGUAAGGAAAAAACGAAAUGACUUACUUUGUAAAUCCUUUAUAUGCAUCUUG